UACGAAGGGGGCUAGCGUUGCUCGGAAUCACUGGGCGUAAAGGGUGCGUAGGCGGGUCUUUAAGUCAGGGGUGAAAUCCUGGAGCUCAACUCCAGAACUGCCUUUGAUACUGAAGAUCUUGAGUCCGGGAGAGGUGAGUGGAACUGCGAGUGUAGAGGUGAAAUUCGUAGAUAUUCGCAAGAACACCCGUGGCGAAAGCGGCGCGCUGGGACGGUACUGACGCUGAGGCGCGAAAGCGUGGGGAGCAAACAGG
This 253-nucleotide ribosomal RNA is filed under the name uncultured bacterium. Its description in RNAcentral is "partial 16S ribosomal RNA". It matches the Rfam family "Bacterial small subunit ribosomal RNA", at positions 524 to 776 of the family's 1533-position model. The record is from RNAcentral.